RNAcentral lists this transfer RNA (84 nucleotides) under Treponema sp. RNAcentral describes it as "tRNA-Leu". It matches the Rfam family "tRNA". From Rfam's summary of the family: Transfer RNA (tRNA) molecules are approximately 80 nucleotides in length. Their secondary structure includes four short double-helical elements and three loops (D, anti-codon, and T loops). Lineage: Bacteria; Pseudomonadati; Spirochaetota; Spirochaetia; Treponematales; Treponemataceae. The record is from RNAcentral.
GCCAGGGUGGUGGAAUGGUAGACACCGGGGACUUAAAAUCCCCUCUCCGUAUAGGGGGUACGGGUUCAACUCCCGUUCCUGGCA